AAAUUGAAGAGUUUGAUCAUGGCUCAGAUUGAACGCUGGCGGCAGGCCUAACACAUGCAAGUCGAACGGUAACAGGAAGCAGCUUGCUGCUUUGCUGACGAGUGGCGGACGGGUGAGUAAUGUCUGGGAAACUGCCUGAUGGAGGGGGAUAACUACUGGAAACGGUAGCUAAUACCGCAUAACGUCGCAAGACCAAAGAGGGGGACCUUCGGGCCUCUUGCCAUCGGAUGUGCCCAGAUGGGAUUAGCUAGUAGGUGGGGUAACGGCUCACCUAGGCGACGAUCCCUAGCUGGUCUGAGAGGAUGACCAGCCACACUGGAACUGAGACACGGUCCAGACUCCUACGGGAGGCAGCAGUGGGGAAUAUUGCACAAUGGGCGCAAGCCUGAUGCAGCCAUGCCGCGUGUAUGAAGAAGGCCUUCGGGUUGUAAAGUACUUUCAGCGGGGAGGAAGGGAGUAAAGUUAAUACCUUUGCUCAUUGACGUUACCCGCAGAAGAAGCACCGGCUAACUCCGUGCCAGCAGCCGCGGUAAUACGGAGGGUGCAAGCGUUAAUCGGAAUUACUGGGCGUAAAGCGCACGCAGGCGGUUUGUUAAGUCAGAUGUGAAAUCCCCGGGCUCAACCUGGGAACUGCAUCUGAUACUGGCAAGCUUGAGUCUCGUAGAGGGGGUAGAAUUCCAGGUGUAGCGGUGAAAUGCGUAGAGAUCUGGAGGAAUACCGGUGGCGAAGGCGGCCCCCUGGACGAAGACUGACGCUCAGGUGCGAAAGCGUGGGGAGCAAACAGGAUUAGAUACCCUGGUAGUCCACGCCGUAAACGAUGUCGACUUGGAGGUUGUGCCCUUGAGGCGUGGCUUCCGGAGCUAACGCGUUAAGUCGACCGCCUGGGGAGUACGGCCGCAAGGUUAAAACUCAAAUGAAUUGACGGGGGCCCGCACAAGCGGUGGAGCAUGUGGUUUAAUUCGAUGCAACGCGAAGAACCUUACCUGGUCUUGACAUCCACGGAAGUUUUCAGAGAUGAGAAUGUGCCUUCGGGAACCGUGAGACAGGUGCUGCAUGGCUGUCGUCAGCUCGUGUUGUGAAAUGUUGGGUUAAGUCCCGCAACGAGCGCAACCCUUAUCCUUUGUUGCCAGCGGUCCGGCCGGGAACUCAAAGGAGACUGCCAGUGAUAAACUGGAGGAAGGUGGGGAUGACGUCAAGUCAUCAUGGCCCUUACGACCAGGGCUACACACGUGCUACAAUGGCGCAUACAAAGAGAAGCGACCUCGCGAGAGCAAGCGGACCUCAUAAAGUGCGUCGUAGUCCGGAUUGGAGUCUGCAACUCGACUCCAUGAAGUCGGAAUCGCUAGUAAUCGUGGAUCAGAAUGCCACGGUGAAUACGUUCCCGGGCCUUGUACACACCGCCCGUCACACCAUGGGAGUGGGUUGCAAAAGAAGUAGGUAGCUUAACCUUCGGGAGGGCGCUUACCACUUUGUGAUUCAUGACUGGGGUGAAGUCGUAACAAGGUAACCGUAGGGGAACCUGCGGUUGGAUCACCUCCUUA
Molecule: ribosomal RNA, 1541 nt
Filed under: Escherichia coli
Lineage: Bacteria; Pseudomonadati; Pseudomonadota; Gammaproteobacteria; Enterobacterales; Enterobacteriaceae
Also listed under: 1 other name
Description: bacterial SSU rRNA
Rfam family: Bacterial small subunit ribosomal RNA
Source: RNAcentral